This 596-nucleotide ribosomal RNA is filed under the name uncultured bacterium. RNAcentral describes it as "bacterial SSU rRNA". It matches the Rfam family "Bacterial small subunit ribosomal RNA", at positions 102 to 690 of the family's 1533-position model. The record is from RNAcentral.
ACGGGGUAGGAAUACGUAGGUAACGUACCCUCGGGGCGAGGACAGCCACGGGAAACUGUGGGUAAUACUCGAUAAACUUCCCAAUCAUUAUCGGAGGGGAAGCAAUGGGUGUGAUUCCACCUGAGGAGCGGCUUACGCAGUAUCAGCUAGUUGGUGAGGUAACGGCUCACCAAGGCUACGACGCUUAGGGGGUGUGAGAACAUGGCCCCCACCACUGGCACUGAGACACUGGCCAGACACCUACGGGUGGCUGCAGUCGAGAAUCUUCGGCAAUGGACGCAAGUCUGACCGAGCGACGCCGCGUGUGGGAUGAAGGUCUUCGGAUUGUAAACCACUGUCAGAGGGGAUGAAGUAUACGAGAGUUAUCUCUUGUAUUUGACAGAGCCUCAGAGGAAGCACGGGCUAAGUUCGUGCCAGCAGCCGCGGUAAUACGAACUGUGCGAACGUUAUUCGGAAUCACUGGGCUUAAAGGGUGCGUAGGCGGUUAUCUAAGUCAGGUGUGAAAUCUCUCGGCUCAACCGGGAAACUGCGCUUGAAACUGGGUGACUGGAGUGAUGCAGGGGUGUGUGGAACUUCCGGUGGAGCGGUGAAAUGUG